CGUAGGCGGUUUGAUAAGUCAGAUGUGAAAGCCCACGGCUUAACUGUGGAAGUGCAUUUGAAACUGUCAGACUUGAGUAUCAGAGGGGAAAGUGGAAUUCCCGGUGUAGAGGUGAAAUUCGUAGAUAUCGGGAGGAAUACCGGUGGCGAAGGCGACUUUCUGGCUGAAUACUGACGCUGAGGCGCGAAAGCGUGGGGAGCAAACA
RNAcentral lists this ribosomal RNA (205 nucleotides) under uncultured delta proteobacterium. RNAcentral's name for it is "partial 16S ribosomal RNA". It matches the Rfam family "Bacterial small subunit ribosomal RNA", at positions 570 to 774 of the family's 1533-position model. The record is from RNAcentral. Lineage: Bacteria; Deltaproteobacteria.